RNAcentral lists this ribosomal RNA (463 nucleotides) under uncultured bacterium. Its description in RNAcentral is "bacterial SSU rRNA". It matches the Rfam family "Bacterial small subunit ribosomal RNA", at positions 33 to 507 of the family's 1533-position model. The record is from RNAcentral.
GACGCUGGCGGCGUGCCUAACACAUGCAAGUCGAGCGAGUGAAUCUCCUUCGGGAGUGAAGCUAGCGGCGGACGGGUGAGUAACACGUGGGCAACCUGCCUCAUAGAGGGGAAUAGCCUUUCGAAAGGAAGAUUAAUACCGCAUAAGAUUGUAGCUUCGCAUGAAGUAGCAAUUAAAGGGAGCAAUCCCGCUAUGAGAUGGGCCCGCGGCGCAUUAGCUAGUUGGUGAGGUAACGGCUCACCAAGGCGACGAUGCGUAGCCGACCUGAGAGGGUGAUCGGCCACAUUGGGACUGAGACACGGCCCAGACUCCUACGGGAGGCAGCAGGUGGGGAAUAUUGCACAAUGGGGGAAACCCUGAUGCAGCAACGCCGCGUGAGUGAUGACGGCCUUCGGGUUGUAAAGCUCUGUCUUCAGGGACGAUAAUGACGGUACCUGAGGAGGAAGCCACGGCUAACUACGUG